GGAUGUGAAAGAGAUUUGGCUGUGAUAUCUAUCACUCUAUUGAUCACCAGGGUUGAUUAAACUGAUUUAGCCAGCUAGACAGUCUUCUUUUCUCACUUAGCUCCUUGUGUAUUCACCUUUCUAACUCACAAGUUUGCUGUUCUGACAGAAUAUGACUUUCCACAUAAAGUUGUACAUUUCUUAAACAUCCAAGCUCUCAAAUUCAUCACAGAAACAAUAACUGAGAUGAACUACUGAGACACCCUGGAAACCUCAUUCAAAGUGAAUCUAGUUGUAAGAAACCACAUUU
Molecule: small nuclear RNA, 289 nt
Filed under: Sarcophilus harrisii (Tasmanian devil)
Lineage: Eukaryota; Metazoa; Chordata; Mammalia; Dasyuromorphia; Dasyuridae
Description: 7SK RNA
Rfam family: 7SK RNA
About the family: 7SK was discovered as an abundant small nuclear RNA in the mid-70s but a possible function has only recently been suggested.
Source: Rfam by way of RNAcentral